CCAGUUGUUUCUAGAAACAAGCACAAAAGGAUCGGGAGGCACUCUCCUGAAACAUUCGGUUUUGACCGGAAAGACAGCACAAAAGGAGACCCCGCCAGUCAUCAGCAGGAGCAGGCCUUCCUUGCCGUCCAGUCACCGCAUCCAUUGAUCCCUCCUGAUGACACCUGUCAGCUAGACCUGGCCUUCAGCGUAAAGAAGCCGACGUGUGAAAGAACAACGCAUGACUCCGUCUUCAGCUACACCGGUCCUCACCACCCACCCAGCUCUCCUCAGGAAAAAGACUUCCAUGCAUCCUGCUGAUGGAUAUUGAAUCCCAGCCUGCUGGGCAGCUGUGGAAUACUGGCCCGGAGUGAGGGGAUGGAGCAGGAGGGGGUUCUGAACGGACACAGGCGGCCAGUUUGCACAGCCAAUAUAGCUUGGUGUUCAUGGAAGCCACCAGAGAUGUGUCCUUCUAGAUGAACAACCGCAGGUCUCUACCGGUGAGAACUGAACCCAGGAGUAUGGAGUCUUGCCUGAAGCAGGCGCGCAUAAGCACCUCCUGGACGCUUGCCCAGAGUCAUCGGCCUUGGUUCCCACCGGUGGCCCCGUCGUCAGUUUGGAACUGAGACGCGGAAGAAGUAUAGGGCCUGAUACUUCACCAGACUCUUGUGGCAUCUCUGAAAUCCUAUUUCCUGUUACAAUCCCAAAGCAGGUGGAGUCACUGUGAGCAGCCAGGAACAGCUGAGGAGUUGUGGCCCCUCCCAUAUCACCCCCAUCACUGGGAGAUUGCCACAGACAAACUGCUUGCUCUACCAGGAGCCACCCUUGAGCACGCCCUUUGUUUGGGGGGUUCACUUGGGCAGGGUGUGUAGACCCAGCCCCUCCCAGGAAAUGCAAAACAAAAACAGGCCUGUGCUUCACAGGGGACCUCAGCUCCCUGGGGUAUUGAGAGUAACAAAGACAGGCCCAGCAGAAAGCAGCCAAAGCUGUCUCCACAGGGAAAGCCUGUGUACACAAGUGUACAGAUGGGGGUCCACAAACACCCAGAGAAGGCCACACAGUCUCUGUGACAAUUUCAGCUUUAUUCUGAGGAAAAUCUUAAAAAACAAUGUGAACAUGUUCACAUCACGAGUAAAAAACAUCUCCCAAACUAUUUCCGGAGAUUUCGGGACCACAUAGUGUCAAGUUGGGAGCGUAGGCGCCUGCCCCUCGCAUCUAUCCCAGCCCCCAGGCCUGGUCUAGACUCCAAAUCCCAGCAGGCCAGGUCCUGACCCCUCCCUGGGGGUGGUCUCCCUUUCUUCUUCCCCGGGGUCGCGUUUCUGCGGCUUCCUGGUUCCCCCUCGGGGCCACCCGAGAGCGCAGAUGUCCCAUUAAACCUGGAUAUUUCUUAAUUUGGCUUGUUUUGAUUUGGCUUGAUUGGGAAUUUUUGCAUCAGCAGGGAGCUAAUAUUAAGAAAUAUUCCUAACACAUAGUACUCAUCUUUGAAAAGUACUAAGGGAUUCAGGUUCUCCCAGAUACUGGGGAGUCUGAGGCAAAAGGAUUGUGUGAUCCUAGUUCAAGAUCAGCCUAGGCACCGCAUCCAAACCCCCACUUCUUUAAUUCAGUUGAUUCUAAAGAAUAGAGCAGGGCUACUUCACUUAGAAACACCAGCAGGUGUCAUUCUCUGGUGAAGUCCCAGUAAACACGGACAUCGUCCCUUCAGGGUGGCAUCUUCACAGAGCUUAGAUUCAGAAAACAGCGGAAUAGCUCUCAUGGAGGUGCUGACGAGGCUGGGCUGUUUUGGGGGCCUUGGUUGUUCAUUUCUAUACAUACUGGGGUGUGGGUUACAUAAGAGCUGUUGAAGGGUGCAGCUUGCAUGAUUUUAUGUGGGGCUGAUGUUCUGUGUGUUUAUAUAAAAUAAUGUUCAUGUUUACCGUGAUAGGCAAAAUUACAUCAACUCCAGAACUCUGGUUUCCUCUGUUAAGAGUACUGCGUAUGACUCAGGUUUAGAGACCACUGCUUCUGUACUGGAAUCCCACGUCUACGGUUAUGGGCAGCAGAGGUGGCAGCUGGAAGGCUUACCAAGUGGUUGGGAGCCGAGAACCAGCGGAGGGGAGGGCGCUAGGGUGGAGUGCUGCCACUGCGCUUGCCAGGAACGGCCCGGCCCGUGAAGCAGAUGGAGAGGGCGAGGCAAGGCAGCA
Molecule: non-coding RNA, 2159 nt
Organism: Myodes glareolus (Bank vole)
Lineage: Eukaryota; Metazoa; Chordata; Mammalia; Rodentia; Cricetidae
Source: RefSeq, a predicted model, not a curated record